AACGAACGCUGGCGGCAGGCUUAACACAUGCAAGUCGAGCGCCCCGCAAGGGGAGCGGCAGACGGGUGAGUAACGCGUGGGAAUCUACCGUGCCCUACGGAAUAGCUCCGGGAAACUGGAAUUAAUACCGUAUACGCCCUACGGGGGAAAGAUUUAUCGGGGUAUGAUGAGCCCGCGUUGGAUUAGCUAGUUGGUGGGGUAAAGGCCUACCAAGGCGACGAUCCAUAGCUGGUCUGAGAGGAUGUUCAGCCACAUUGGGACUGAGACACGGCCCAAACUCCUACGGGAGGCAGCAGUGGGGAAUAUUGGACAAUGGGCGCAAGCCUGAUCCAGCCAUGCCGCGUGAGUGAUGAAGGUCUUAGGAUUGUAAAGCUCUUUCACCGGUGAAGAUAAUGACGGUAACCGGAGAAGAAGCCCCGGCUAACUUCGUGCCAGCAGCCGCCGCCG
This 447-nucleotide ribosomal RNA is filed under the name uncultured bacterium. Its description in RNAcentral is "partial 16S ribosomal RNA". It matches the Rfam family "Bacterial small subunit ribosomal RNA", at positions 29 to 523 of the family's 1533-position model. The record is from RNAcentral.